Molecule: ribosomal RNA, 210 nt
Filed under: Klebsiella pneumoniae
Lineage: Bacteria; Pseudomonadati; Pseudomonadota; Gammaproteobacteria; Enterobacterales; Enterobacteriaceae
Description: partial 16S ribosomal RNA
Rfam family: Bacterial small subunit ribosomal RNA
Source: RNAcentral
UUGUAAAGCACUUUCAGCGGGGAGGAAGGCGAUAAGGUUAAUAACCUUGUCGAUUGACGUUACCCGCAGAAGAAGCACCGGCUAACUCCGUGCCAGCAGCCGCGGUAAUACGGAGGGUGCAAGCGUUAAUCGGAAUUACUGGGCGUAAAGCGCACGCAGGCGGUCUGUCAAGUCGGAUGUGAAAUCCCCGGGCUCAACCUGGGAACUGCA